Molecule: long non-coding RNA, 1397 nt
Filed under: Nicotiana tabacum (common tobacco)
Lineage: Eukaryota; Viridiplantae; Streptophyta; Magnoliopsida; Solanales; Solanaceae
Description: long non-coding RNA (NTAB_LNC012617)
Source: RNAcentral
AAGCUAGGAAUAGAAAAUAUGAUGUGACACAUCUUAUUGCUCAAGGAAGUGGUUUAUCUUUUUUCUCCUUUUUUUGCUUUUUUAAAAUCUAAAUUCUCUUAUCCAGGUAGACAUAUUAUAUUUUACCUAUUAUCAUUGAAAGGAAUAUGAAACUGAUGCCUUUGUUAAUCUCAUUUAUUACAUCGCAUCAUUAUCUCUCAAUGAAUAGCAUACAUCACUUACAAAAAACUUUUCACCUAUUGGUUUUCCUCAAUUAAAUAAAUUUCCAUGGCUUCAUCUGUCUCUACAUAAUAAUCCAAUAAUGGUUGCUACCUUUGCAAGGUGUAACCUUUCAAUUUCAUAUUUAUGGAGAAAAAAGAACUACUACAAUCUCCUGUAGUGAGCAGAGACUUAUCUACAAAUAUAGGCUCCCUUCCUGUCAUAAAACAUAACUUCCAGGCAAUGGUUCUUUCGGCCAGGUUUGUAUUCUUUUAUCCUCAGUUCCUGACUAACUUUACAGGUUUUUUCAAAAUUUCCGGCAUUACAUUAUUUAUGACAUAUUCUCAGAUUUUUGUUUUACUGCAUGUCGUAGUAUUUUGGGAUGCUAUAAUUUUAGAAAAUUUAGAGAAUUUUGUCACUAUCCUCUAUUUAAUGUAUACAAUGUAUCUCUUUUUACUUGUGUUUUGCCUUUAUAUUUUGCUUGACUGUCUCUCGUUUUAUUUUUUCCUUUUCGGAUUUUGUUCAUUUAUUUACUUAUAUGACGAAAUUAGUUUAUUGGGCUUGCAAGACUGUUCUUGAAUAUGCAUAUAUGCCUUUUUUUUUAGUGUAGUAAAAUUAUUGAUAAGAACAAAGUUCCCUCUUGUAAUCAUUUUAUUUUAUUUGUAUUCCUUCUAUAAUCUUUAGUUUGGAAUCAAGUGGGUUCUAAACUACAUAGAAAUUAAAGUUUGAUGAAUCAGUUUAUGUAGUCAAUAUGUAUGUUCGUUAUUUAGCCUAAAAAUGUCUAUUUGCUGAAAGAAAUACUAUUCAACUUCUUUAUGGACUAACUUUUUUCUUAUGAAGCAGAAGAUGAAUGGAGUCAACACAACGUUAAGAGGCUUAUUGUACAUCUCUUUGGGUUAACCGAAGAAUUUCUUCUAUUGUGCUGCAAAAGAAUGUGGUAGUACAAGAAAUUUAAAAGUUUUUUAUUACUCUAGGUUCUAAUUUGGAGAAAUAUAUUUUUGUAAAGAUUGGAGAAACACAUAAACAUUACACUUAUGCAAGAUGAUGUGUCACUUCUUUUAGGCCAAGGAUAUUGGAUUUAUCUUUUUUCUCCUUUUUUGCCUUUUUCUCUACUUUUUUUAUCUUAUUGUAAGAAUAAAUGUUAUGGUUCGUUCCCCCUCCCUUAUUUAUGGUCUUUACACAAAGUAAUUAAUUCCGUA